This 406-nucleotide ribosomal RNA is filed under the name uncultured bacterium. RNAcentral's name for it is "partial 16S ribosomal RNA". It matches the Rfam family "Bacterial small subunit ribosomal RNA", at positions 30 to 526 of the family's 1533-position model. The record is from RNAcentral.
AUUGAACGCUGGCGGCAGGCCUAACACAUGCAAGUCGAACGAGUGGCGGACGGGUGAGUAAUGUCUGGGAAACUGCCUGAUGUAGGGGGCUAACUACUGUAAAAGGUAGCUAAUAACGCAUACCAUCGGAUUUGCCCAGAUGGGAUUAGGUAGUCGGUGGGGUAAAGGCUCACCUAGGCGACGAUCCCUAGCUGGUCUGAGAGGAUGACCAGCCACACUGGAACUGAGACACGGGCCAGACUCCUACGGGAGGCAGCAGUGGGGAAUAUUGCACAAUGGGCGCAAGCCUGAUGCAGCCAUGCCGCGUGUAUGAAGAAGGCCUUCGGGUUGUAAAGUACUUUCAGCGGGGAGGCGUUACCCGCAGAAGAAGCACCGGCUAACUCCGUGCCAGCAGCCGCGGUAAUUC